This 253-nucleotide ribosomal RNA is filed under the name uncultured bacterium. RNAcentral's name for it is "partial 16S ribosomal RNA". It matches the Rfam family "Bacterial small subunit ribosomal RNA", at positions 524 to 776 of the family's 1533-position model. The record is from RNAcentral.
UACGUAGGGGGCUAGCGUUGUCCGGAAUCAUUGAGCGUAAAGCGCGUGUAGGCGGUCCGGUAAGUCCGCUGUGAAAGUCGAGGGCUCAACCCUCGAAUGCCGGUGGAUACUGUCGGGCUUGAGUACGGGAGAGGCGAGUGGAAUUCCUGGUGUAGCGGUGAAAUGCGCAGAUAUCAGGAGGAACACCGAUUGCGAAGGCAGCUCGCUGGAACGUUACUGACGCUGAGACGCGAAAGCGUGGGGAGCGAACAGG